UGCCUCCCCUCUUUGUCCCUGGAUGUC
RNAcentral lists this non-coding RNA (27 nucleotides) under Homo sapiens (human). The record is from RNAcentral. Lineage: Eukaryota; Metazoa; Chordata; Mammalia; Primates; Hominidae.